GCAAACUUGGUCAUUUAGAGGAAGUAAAAGUCGUAACAAGGUUUCCGUAGGUGAACCUGCGGAAGGAUCAUUAUUGAAUAUGCUUGAUGGGUUGUCGCUGGCCUCUCGGGGCAUGUGCACGCCUGUCUUGACUCUAUUCAUCCACCUGUGCACUUAUUGUAGUUCCUUUUCGAGGGUACUGAGGGAAGCGGCUUUUGUUUAGUCGGUUGAGUAAAGACCGGAUUUGAGGAUUGCCCUAUAAGGGGCUGUUCUCUCCCUUGCAGUCGUGAAUUCUCAAUGCCUUUGGUUUUGGAACUAUGUCCUAUUAUCAAUAAACCAUGUAGUAUGUUGUCAGAAUGUAUUCAAUGGGCCGUUGUGCCUAUAGAACUUUAUACAACUUUCAGCAACGGAUCUCUUGGCUCUCGCAUCGAUGAAGAACGCAGC
Molecule: unclassified non-coding RNA, 423 nt
Filed under: uncultured fungus
Lineage: Eukaryota; Fungi
Description: partial contains small subunit ribosomal RNA, internal transcribed spacer 1, and 5.8S ribosomal RNA
Rfam family: Eukaryotic small subunit ribosomal RNA (bases 1-73)
Source: RNAcentral